This 610-nucleotide ribosomal RNA is filed under the name uncultured Lachnospiraceae bacterium. RNAcentral's name for it is "bacterial SSU rRNA". It matches the Rfam family "Bacterial small subunit ribosomal RNA", at positions 100 to 729 of the family's 1533-position model. Lineage: Bacteria; Bacillati; Bacillota; Clostridia; Lachnospirales; Lachnospiraceae. The record is from RNAcentral.
GGACGGGUGAGUAACGCGUGGGUAACCUGCCUCAUACAGGGGGAUAACAGUUGGAAACGGCUGCUAAUACCGCAUAAGCGCACAGGACCGCAUGGUGUAGUGUGAAAAACUCCGGUGGUAUGAGAUGGACCCGCGUCUGAUUAGGUAGUUGGUGGGGUAAAGGCCUACCAAGCCGACGAUCAGUAGCCGACCUGAGAGGGUGACCGGCCACAUUGGGACUGAGACACGGCCCAAACUCCUACGGGAGGCAGCAGUGGGGAAUAUUGCACAAUGGGGGAAACCCUGAUGCAGCGACGCCGCGUGAGCGAUGAAGUAUUUCGGUAUGUAAAGCUCUAUCAGCAGGGAAGAAGAUGACGGUACCUGAGUAAGAAGCACCGGCUAAAUACGUGCCAGCAGCCGCGGUAAUACGUAUGGUGCAAGCGUUAUCCGGAUUUACUGGGUGUAAAGGGAGCGUAGACGGAUAGGCAAGUCUGGAGUGAAAACCCAGGGCUCAACCUUGGGACUGCUUUGGAAACUGCAGAUCUGGAGUGCCGGAGAGGUAAGCGGAAUUCCUAGUGUAGCGGUGAAAUGCGUAGAUAUUAGGAGGACACCAGUGGCGAAGGCGGCUUAC